CAAGUGCAAAGAGCAACAAGAUUUGGUAACACGGCAACCAAUUCGGACUCAAAACCGAUUCCAACUCGAACUUCAACACCACGUGGGAUUUGGUCUCCAACAACUCAGAUUCCUACUCGGACUUGAACACAAAGAUGUACUCAGAUUCAGCCAACAGAGGGUUUAUAUGGUAGCACAAGGCUGUGACUAGAACAUGACAAGAACUCAAAACUCUAAUGGAUAAAAACUAAAACCAACAACUCGACACAACCGAUGUAACCAAAAACUCAACAAGCCCUAACAAAGCAGU
This 289-nucleotide long non-coding RNA is filed under the name Setaria viridis. RNAcentral describes it as "long non-coding RNA (SVIR_LNC005685)". The record is from RNAcentral. Lineage: Eukaryota; Viridiplantae; Streptophyta; Magnoliopsida; Poales; Poaceae.